This is a long non-coding RNA of Cyprinus carpio (common carp), 2019 nucleotides long. Lineage: Eukaryota; Metazoa; Chordata; Actinopteri; Cypriniformes; Cyprinidae. The record is from Ensembl.
AUGGCGGGGCCUGAUUGGUUUAGCUCGUUUAUGAAGCGGAACCCCAGACUUUCAGUGAGGAGUCCACAGGCAACUAGCCUUUCAAGAGCCACCAGUUUUAAUCGUGCUAAUGUGGAACUCUUCUUCAGUCGACUGGGGGAGGUGAUUGAUAAAUAUGGGUUUGAUGGCAGUGACAUAUGGAAUGUCGACGAAACCAGCGUGACAACUGUCCAGGCACCAUUCCGAGUCGUAGCACGCCGGGGUAUGAAGCAGGUUGGUGCCAUGACGUCGGGGGAGAGGGGCACACUUGUUUCAGUUGCAUAUGCUGUGCAAGCUCUAGGGAAUACCAUUCCUCCAUUCUUUGUGUUCCCUCGUAAGAAUUUUAAAGAUCACUUUGUUCAGAGCGGGCCCUUGGGGAGUGCAGGAAGUGCUAAUUCAUCAGGCUGGAUGCAGGAAGAGGAUUUCCUAUCAUUCCUCGUUCACUUUGUGAAGCAUACAAAGGUCAGUCCAGAAAGAAAGGUGUUGCUCCUGCUUGAUAACCACUCUUCCCACAUCUCUGUGAGAGCUGUGGAUUUUUGCAAAGGCCAUGGAAUUGUACUACUUACGUUCCCACCACAUUGCAGCCAUAAACUCCAACCACUAGAUCGUAGUGUGUUUGGUCCGUUUAAAAGGAUGGUGAAUUCGGCGAGCGAUGACUGGAUGAGGGGAAAUCCUGGUAAAACUAUGAGUAUUUACGAAAUUCCAGGCAUUGUGAGGAUCGCCCUGCCUACAGCCGCAACACAGAAAAACAUACAGGCGGGCUUCCAGUGUACAGGCAUAUGGCCAUACAAUUGUAAAAUUUUUCAGGACUGUGACUUUGCGCCUUCUCAAGUCACAGAUCGUCCUGAUCCAUCUGGGACUCUUCAACAGAACUCCUCUCCAUCUCACCUGCCAGCCGGCUCCUCUCCUCCUUACCUGCCGCCCGGCUCCUCUCCAGCUCACCUGUUGCCUGGCUCCUCUCCAGCUCACCUGCCACCCAGCUCCUCUCUAUCUCACCUGCCACCCGGCUCCUCUCCAGCUCACCUGCCACCCGGCUCCCCUCCAGCUCACCUGCCACCCGGCUCCUCUCCAGCUUACCUGCCGCCCGGCUCCUCUCCAGCUCACCUGCUGCCCGGCUCCUCUCCAGCUCACCUGCCACCCAGCUCCUCACCAUCUCACCUGCCACCCGGCUCCUCUCCAGCUCACCUCCCGCCCAGCUCCUCUCCAGCUCCCCUGCCGCCUGGCUCCUCUUCAGCUCAUCUGCCGCCCGGCGCCUCUCCAGCUCACCUGCCACCCGGCUCCUCUCCUCCUUACCUGCCACCCGGCUCCUCUCCAGCUCACCUACCGCCCAGCUCCUCUCCAGCUCACCUGCCACCUGGCUCCUCUCCUCCUUACCUGCCGCCCGGCUCCUCUCCAGCUGACCUGCCGCCCAGCUCCUCUCCAGCUCACCUGCCACCUGGCUCCUCUCCUCCUUACCUGCCACCCGGCUCCUCUCCAGCUCACCUACCGCCCAGCUCCUCUCCAGCUCACCUGCCGCCUGUCUCCUCUUCAGCUCAUCUGCCGCCUGGCUCCUCUUCAGCUCAUCUGUUGCCCGGCUCCUCUCCAGCUCACCUGCCACCCGGCUCCUCUCCUCCUUACCUGCCACCCGGCUCCUCUCCAGCUCACCUGCCAGCCGGCUUUUCUCCUCCUUACCUGCCGCCCGGCUCCUCUCCAGCUGACCUGCCGCCCGGCUCCUCUCCUCCUUACCUGCCGACCGGCUCCUCUCCUCCUUACCUGCCGCCCGCCUCCUCUCCAGCUCACCUGCCGCCCGUCUCCUCUUCAGCUCACCUGCCGCCCGGCUCCUCUCCAGCCACUCAUGCUUUCCAUCUGCACUCUGAUGAGAUGCCGAGCACCUCGGGGUCCAUCGUAGGUCAGUCGUUCAGUCCAUCACUCAUUAGGCCAUUUCCAAAAGCAGGCCCAAGGAAAGAGACAGGUAGGGGUAGAAGAAGAGGCGCUCGGAAAUCCUCACUGAUACACCAGUGA